RNAcentral lists this ribosomal RNA (1376 nucleotides) under Zygosaccharomyces rouxii. Its description in RNAcentral is "SSU rRNA". It matches the Rfam family "Eukaryotic small subunit ribosomal RNA", at positions 25 to 1429 of the family's 1831-position model. Lineage: Eukaryota; Fungi; Ascomycota; Saccharomycetes; Saccharomycetales; Saccharomycetaceae. The record is from RNAcentral.
CAUAUGCUUGUCUCAAAGAUUAAGCCAUGCAUGUCUAAGUAUAAGCAAUUUAUACAGUGAAACCGGCGAAUGGCUCAUUAAAUCAGUUAUCGUUUAUUUGAUAGUUCCUUUACUACAUGGUAUAACUGUGGUAAUUCUAGAGCUAAUACAUGCUUAAAAUCUCGACCUUUCGGAAGAGAUGUAUUUAUUAGAUAAAAAAUCAACGUCUUCGGACUCCUUGAUGAUUCAUAAUAACUUUUCGAAUCGCAUGGCCUUGUGCUGGCGAUGGUUCAUUCAAAUUUCUGCCCUAUCAACUUUCGAUGGUAGGAUAGUGGGCCUACCAUGGUUUCAACGGGUAACGGGGGAAUAAGGGUUCGAUUCCGGAGAAGGGAGCCUGAGAAACGGCUACCACAUCCAAGGAAGGCAGCAGGCGCGCAAAUUACCCAAUCCUGACACAGGGAGGUAGUGACAAUAAAUAACGAUACAGGGCCCUUACGGGUCUUGUAAUUGGAAUGAGUCAAUGUAAAUACCUUAACGAGGAACAAUUGGAGGGCAAGUCUGGUGCCAGCAGCCGCGGUAAUUCCAGCUCCAAUAGCGUAUAUUAAAGUUGUUGCAGUUAAAAAGCUCGUAGUUGAACUUUGGGCCUGGUCGGCCGGUCCGGAUUUUUCCGCGUACUGGUUUUUCCGACCCGGCCUUUCCUUCUGGCUAGCCCUGGGUCCUUGUGGCCCUUGGUGAACCAGGACUUUUACUUUGAAAAAAUUAGAGUGUUCAAAGCAGGCGUAUUGCUCGAAUAUAUUAGCAUGGAAUAAUAGAAUAGACGUUUGGUUCUAUUGUGUUGGUUUCUAGGACCAUCGUAAUGAUUAAUAGGGACGGUCGGGGGCAUCAGUAUUCAGUUGUCAGAGGUGAAAUUCUUGGAUUUACUGAAGACUAACUACUUGCGAAAGCAUUUGCCAAGGACGUUUUCAUUAAUCAAGAACGAAAGUUAGGGGAUCGAAGAUGAUCAGAUACCGUCGUAGUCUUACCCAUAACUAUGCCGACUAGGGAUCGGGUGGUGUUUUUUUACUGACCCACUCGGCACCUUUCGAGAAUCAAAGUCCUUGGGUCUUGGGGGAGUAUGGUCGCAAGGCUGUAACUAAAGGAAUUGCGGAAGGGCACCACCAGGAGUGGAGCCUGCGGCUUAAUUUGACUCAACACGGGGAAACUCACCAGGUCCAGACACAAUAAGGAUUGACAGAUUGAGAGCUCUUUCUUGAUUUUGUGGGUGGUGGUGCAUGGCCGUUCUUAGUUGGUGGAGUGAUUUGUCUGCUUAAUUGCGAUAACGAACAAGACCUUAACCUACUAAAUAGUGGUGCUAGCCUUUGCCGGGUUUUUCCACUUCUUAGAGGGACUAUCGGUUU